Long non-coding RNA from Dendroctonus ponderosae (mountain pine beetle), 369 nucleotides. RefSeq lists it as uncharacterized. Lineage: Eukaryota; Metazoa; Arthropoda; Insecta; Coleoptera; Curculionidae. The record is from RefSeq and is a predicted model, not a curated record. The transcript has 2 exons.
CGUUUCAGAUUCACAUCAAACAACAGAAUUUUACAUUUCUCGCAAGAUGAGUUUGAAUUCGCCAAUCCAGAAUAGGGUGCAAAGAAGACAACUUUCAGCCGGUUUACUGGAUAAUAAGAAUAUUCCCGAUCAAGGGAACUCAUAUUUCUACCCUUCGGGUUAUGGGGUUUAUGACGACAGCAUUACCUUCCAGCAUAAACCACACCCUGACGAGGAUACGCAUCGAAAUUUCUACGAUUACAGCGAAGAAAUAUAUUUAAUCCCAAUGAAUCGCAAAGCAAACUAGGAUUUGAUUUAAUUAUUAUCAACAUUGUUAAAUACGUAUAUUUAGACUGAAUUUUUAAUCAAUAGACUGUAUUUUUAACUACA